CCUACGGGCGGCUGCAGUGGGGAAUAUUGGACAAUGGGCGAAAGCCUGAUCCAGCCAUGCCGCGUGUGUGAAGAAGGCCUUCGGGUUGUAAAGCACUUUCAGUGGGGAAGAAAGCCUUGGGGCUAAUACCCUCGAGGAAGGACAUCACCCACAGAAGAAGCACCGGCUAACUCCGUGCCAGCAGCCGCGGUAAUACGGAGGGUGCGAGCGUUAAUCGGAAUUACUGGGCGUAAAGCGCGCGUAGGCGGUCUGAUAAGCCGGUUGUGAAAGCCCCGGGCUCAACCUGGGAACGGCAUCCGGAACUGUCAGGCUAGAGUGCAGGAGAGGAAGGUAGAAUUCCCGGUGUAGCGGUGAAAUGCGUAGAGAUCGGGAGGAAUACCAGUGGCGAAGGCGGCCUUCUGGACUGACACUGACGCUGAGGUGCGAAAGCGUGGGUAGCAAACAGGAUUAGAUACUCCGGUAGUC
RNAcentral lists this ribosomal RNA (465 nucleotides) under Vreelandella stevensii. RNAcentral's name for it is "partial 16S ribosomal RNA". It matches the Rfam family "Bacterial small subunit ribosomal RNA", at positions 338 to 795 of the family's 1533-position model. The record is from RNAcentral. Lineage: Bacteria; Pseudomonadati; Pseudomonadota; Gammaproteobacteria; Oceanospirillales; Halomonadaceae.